RNAcentral lists this ribosomal RNA (352 nucleotides) under uncultured Gemmatimonadota bacterium. Its description in RNAcentral is "bacterial SSU rRNA". It matches the Rfam family "Bacterial small subunit ribosomal RNA", at positions 568 to 898 of the family's 1533-position model. Lineage: Bacteria; Pseudomonadati; Gemmatimonadota. The record is from RNAcentral.
CGCGUAGGUGGCCACCAUAAGGCCGCGGUGAAAGUUCGGGGCUCAACCCUGAAUCGGCCGCGGCGACUGUGGGGCUAGGGCACCGUAGAGGCAGAUGGAAUUCCGGGUGUAGCGGUGGAAUGCGUAGAGAUCCGGAAGAACACCAGUGGCGAAGGCGGUCUGCUGGGCGGUGGAUCCGCAAGGGUCCAAUAGCCGACACUGAGGCGCGACAGCGUGGGGAGCAAACAGGAUUAGAUACCCUGGUAGUCCACGCCGUAAACGAUGGGCACUAGGUGCUCCGGGGAGCGACCCUUGGAGUACCGGCGCUAACGCAUGAAGUGCCCCGCCUGGGGAGUACGGCCGCAAGGCUGAA